GACGAACGCUGGCGGCGUGCUUAACACAUGCAAGUCGAACGAUGAAGCUGGAACUUGCUCUGGCGGAUUAGUGGCGAACGGGUGAGUAACACGUGAGAAAUCUGCCCUUGACUCUGGGAUAACUGCGGGAAACUGUAGCUAAUACCGGAUACUUUCCCUGGUGGGCAUCCACUGGGGAAGAAAGAAUUUCGGUCAAGGAUGAUCUCGCGGCCUAUCAGCUUGUUGGUGAGGUAAUGGCUCACCAAGGCGACGACGGGUAGCCGGCCGGAGAGGGGGACCGGCCACACUGGGAAUGAGACACGGCCCGGACUCCUACGGGAGGCAGCAGUGGGGAAUAUUGCACAAUGGGCGCAAGCCUGAUGCAGGAACGCCGCGUGAGGGAUGAAGGCCUUCGGGUUGUAAACCUCUUUGAGCAGGGAAGAAGCGAAAGUGACGGUACCUGCAGAAAAAGCACCGGCUAACUACGUGCCAGCCGCCGCCGUAA
RNAcentral lists this ribosomal RNA (484 nucleotides) under uncultured bacterium. RNAcentral's name for it is "partial 16S ribosomal RNA". It matches the Rfam family "Bacterial small subunit ribosomal RNA", at positions 28 to 523 of the family's 1533-position model. The record is from RNAcentral.